UACGUAGGGGGCUAGCGUUGUCCGGAAUCAUUGGGCGUAAAGCGCGUGUAGGCGGUCCGGUAAGUCCGCUGUGAAAGUCGGGGGCUCAACCCUCGAAUGCCGGUGGAUACUGUCGGGCUAGAGUGCAGAAGAGGCGAGUGGAAUUCCUGGUGUAGCGGUGAAAUGCGCAGAUAUCAGGAGGAACACCAAUUGCGAAGGCAGCUCGCUGGGACGUUACUGACGCUGAGACGCGAAAGCGUGGGGAGCAAACAGG
This 253-nucleotide ribosomal RNA is filed under the name uncultured bacterium. Its description in RNAcentral is "partial 16S ribosomal RNA". It matches the Rfam family "Bacterial small subunit ribosomal RNA", at positions 524 to 776 of the family's 1533-position model. The record is from RNAcentral.